RNAcentral lists this ribosomal RNA (1242 nucleotides) under metagenome. Its description in RNAcentral is "bacterial SSU rRNA". It matches the Rfam family "Bacterial small subunit ribosomal RNA", at positions 246 to 1498 of the family's 1533-position model. The record is from RNAcentral.
UUGUUGGCGGGGUAACGGCCCACCAAGGCAACGAUCAGUAGGGGUUCUGAGAGGAAGGUCCCCCACAUUGGAACUGAGACACGGUCCAAACUCCUACGGGAGGCAGCAGUGAGGAAUAUUGGUCAAUGGACGAGAGUCUGAACCAGCCAAGUAGCGUGCAGGAAGACGGCCCUAUGGGUUGUAAGCUGCUUUUAUAAGGGAAUAAAGUGAGAGUCGUGACUCUUUUUGCAUGUACCUUAUGAAUAAGGACCGGCUAAUUCCGUGCCAGCAGCCGCGGUAAUACGGAAGGUCCGGGCGUUAUCCGGAUUUAUUGGGUUUAAAGGGAGCGUAGGCCGGAGAUUAAGCGUGUUGUGAAAUGUAGACGCUCAACGUCUGCACUGCAGCGCGAACUGGUUUCCUUGAGUACGCACAAAGUGGGCGGAAUUCGUGGUGUAGCGGUGAAAUGCUUAGAUAUCACGAAGAACUCCGAUUGCGAAGGCAGCUCACUGGAGCGCAACUGACGCUGAAGCUCGAAAGUGCGGGUAUCGAACAGGAUUAGAUACCCUGGUAGUCCGCACGGUAAACGAUGGAUGCCCGCUGUUGGUCUGAAUAGGUCAGCGGCCAAGCGAAAGCAUUAAGCAUCCCACCUGGGGAGUACGCCGGCAACGGUGAAACUCAAAGGAAUUGACGGGGGCCCGCACAAGCGGAGGAACAUGUGGUUUAAUUCGAUGAUACGCGAGGAACCUUACCCGGGCUUGAAUUGCAGAGGAAGGAUUUGGAGACAAUGACGCCCUUCGGGGCCUCUGUGAAGGUGCUGCAUGGUUGUCGUCAGCUCGUGCCGUGAGGUGUCGGCUUAAGUGCCAUAACGAGCGCAACCCCUCUCCUUGGUUGCCAUCAGGUUGAGCUGGGCACUCUGGGGACACUGCCACCGUAAGGUGUGAGGAAGGUGGGGAUGACGUCAAAUCAGCACGGCCCUUACGUCCGGGGCUACACACGUGUUACAAUGGCAGGUACAGAGAGACGGUCCCUUGCAAAACGGAUCAAAUCCUUAAAGCCUGUCUCAGUUCGGACUGGGGUCUGCAACCCGACCCCACGAAGCUGGAUUCGCUAGUAAUCGCGCAUCAGCCAUGGCGCGGUGAAUACGUUCCCGGGCCUUGUACACACCGCCCGUCAAGCCAUGAAAGCCGGGGGCGCCUAAAGUCCGUGACCGUAAGGAGCGGCCUAGGGCGAAACUGGUAAUUGGGGCUAAGUCGUAACAAGGUA